AUUGAACGCUGGCGGAAUGCUUUACACAUGCAAGUCGAACGGCAGCACGGGGCAACCUGGUGGCGAGUGGCGAACGGGUGAGUAAUACAUCGGAACGUGCCCAAUCGUGGGGGAUAACGUAGCGAAAGUUACGCUAAUACCGCAUACGAUCUACGGAUGAAAGCGGGGGAUCGCAAGACCUCGCGCGAAUGGAGCGGCCGAUGUCAGAUUAGGUAGUUGGUGGGGUAAAGGCUCACCAAGCCAACGAUCUGUAGCUGGUCUGAGAGGACGACCAGCCACACUGGAACUGAGACACGGUCCAGACUCCUACGGGAGGCAGCAGUGGGGAAUUUUGGACAAUGGGCGCAAGCCUGAUCCAGCCAUUCCGCGUGCAGGAUGAAGGCCUUCGGGUUGUAAACUGCUUUGUACGGUAACGAAACGGCGAGCUCUAAUACAGUUUGCUAAUGACGGUACCGUAAGAAUAAG
RNAcentral lists this ribosomal RNA (465 nucleotides) under uncultured bacterium. RNAcentral's name for it is "bacterial SSU rRNA". It matches the Rfam family "Bacterial small subunit ribosomal RNA", at positions 30 to 490 of the family's 1533-position model. The record is from RNAcentral.